GACGAACGCUGGCGGCGUGCUUAACACAUGCAAGUCGAACGUGAUUUUUGUGGAAAUUCUUUCGGGAAUGGAAAUGAAAUGAAAGUGGCGAACGGGUGAGUAACACGUGAGCAACCUACCUUACACAGGGGGAUAGCCGUUGGAAACGACGAUUAAUACCGCAUGAGACCACAGAAUCGCAUGAUAUAGGGGUCAAAGAUUUAUCGGUGUAAGAAGGGCUCGCGUCUGAUUAGCUAGUUGGAAGGGUAAAGGCCUACCAAGGCGACGAUCAGUAGCCGGUCUGAGAGGAUGAACGGCCACAUUGGAACUGAGACACGGUCCAAACUCCUACGGGAGGCAGCAGUGGGGAAUAUUGCACAAUGGGGGGAACCCUGAUGCAGCGACGCCGCGUGAGCGAAGAAGGUUUUCGAAUCGUAAAGCUCUGUCCUAUGAGAAGAUAAUGACGGUAUCAUAGGAGGAAGCCCCGGCUAAAUACGUGCCAGCAGCCGCGGUAAUACGUAUGGGGCGAGCGUUGUCCGGAAUUAUUGGGCGUAAAGGGUACGUAGGCGGUUUUUUAAGUCAGGUGUGAAAGCGUGAGGCUUAACCUCAUUAAGCACUUGAAACUGGAAGACUUGAGUGAAGGAGAGGAAAGUGGAAUUCCUAGUGUAGAGGUGAAAUGCGUAGAUAUUAGGAGGAAUACCGGUGGCGAAGGCGACUUUCUGGACUUUUACUGACGCUCAGGUACGAAAGCGUGGGGAGCAAACAGG
Molecule: ribosomal RNA, 746 nt
Filed under: uncultured Parvimonas sp.
Lineage: Bacteria; Bacillati; Bacillota; Tissierellia; Tissierellales; Peptoniphilaceae
Description: bacterial SSU rRNA
Rfam family: Bacterial small subunit ribosomal RNA
Source: RNAcentral